This 879-nucleotide long non-coding RNA is filed under the name Homo sapiens (human). Its description in RNAcentral is "HSALNT0099892". The record is from RNAcentral. Lineage: Eukaryota; Metazoa; Chordata; Mammalia; Primates; Hominidae.
GCAAGCUCCACCUCCCGAGUUCAAGCCAUUCUCCUGCCUCAGCCUCCCCAAGUAUCUGGGACUACAGGUGCCUGCCACCAUGCCUGGCUAAUUUUUGUAUUUCUAGUAGAGACAGGGUUUCAGCAUGUUGGCCAGGCUGGUCUCGAACUCCUGACCUAAGGUGAUCCACCCACCUUGGCCUCCCAAAGUGCUGAGAUUACAGGCGUGAGCCACUGUACCCAGCCGAUAAUUUCAUAGAUUAUCAGCUACCCUGCACAUAUUCAUGUAUUGCUUGUCAGUUGACAGGAAAGAGUCUUAUCUUAUUGGCCAAGAAUUUAGCCGGCAUCUUUGAUCCCAUCAGCAGUUUUGCACUUGAUAUUUGAGGAGUUUCAAAAUGCUAGGAGGCUUUGAUAUUUUCUUUCACCUCAAAACGAAAAUGAAACAUGGUCCAAAAAGUUUGCGCUAAGACCAAAUGGCCAGUGCAAUUUGUACAAAGAGUUAACACUGUCCUUUUGGAUUUUCAGAAAAAGAGCAAGUAACCUUUAUGGAGACUGAAACCAUAGCCAUUUCCAUGGAAGGUUGGGGCAAGAAGCCCUAUUUUCAAUUUGCUCACACAGAGGCUCUUCAUGGGAAGGCCAGACUGCCAUGGAUGAAACAUACAGCGGGGAUGUAUCCGAACACCGUCUCCUGGCCUGUGAAACAGACCAAGAAGUCCCCUUGGAGUUAGAGGGGCCUCUGUGAGCCCUGAGAGAUGCUGCAGCCCAAGGAAGACAUGGGAGGAGGCACUAAGCAGUGUCCCAGGAAGUCACAUAAAGAAAACAUCAUUGGCUGCGCUGCUGCAAAUCUGUGUCUGGGAGUUUGGGCCAGGUUUAAUGCAACUGAUAAUUCAUAAGGAGCAGA